GCAUAUCAAUAAGCGGAGGAAAAGAAACCAACAGGGAUUGCCCUAGUAACGGCGAGUGAAGCGGCAACAGCUCAAAUUUGAAAUCUGGCCUCGGCCCGAGUUGUAAUUUGCAGAGGAAGCUUUAGGCGCGGCACCUUCUGAGUCCCCUGGAACGGGGCGCCAUAGAGGGUGAGAGCCCCGUAUAGUUGGAUGCCUAGCCUGUGUAAAGCUCCUUCGACGAGUCGAGUAGUUUGGGAAUGCUGCUCAAAAUGGGAGGUAAAUUUCUUCUAAAGCUAAAUACCGGCCAGAGACCGAUAGCGCACAAGUAGAGUGAUCGAAAGAUGAAAAGCACUUUGAAAAGAGGGUUAAAAAGCACGUGAAAUUGUUGAAAGGGAAGCGCUUGUGACCAGACUUGCGCCGGGCUGAUCAUCCGGUGUUCUCACCGGUGCACUCGGCCCGGCACAGGCCAGCAUCGGUUCUCGCGGGGGGAUAAAGGUCCCGGGAACGUAGCUCCUCCGGGAGUGUUAUAGCCCGGGGCGUAAUGCCCUCGCGGGGACCGAGGUUCGCGCAUCUGCAAGGAUGCUGGCGUAAUGGUCAUCAGCGACCCGUCUUGAAACACGGACC
This 603-nucleotide ribosomal RNA is filed under the name Collariella bostrychodes. Its description in RNAcentral is "partial large subunit ribosomal RNA". It matches the Rfam family "Eukaryotic large subunit ribosomal RNA", at positions 38 to 667 of the family's 3401-position model. The record is from RNAcentral. Lineage: Eukaryota; Fungi; Ascomycota; Sordariomycetes; Sordariales; Chaetomiaceae.